This 440-nucleotide ribosomal RNA is filed under the name uncultured bacterium. RNAcentral describes it as "partial 16S ribosomal RNA". It matches the Rfam family "Bacterial small subunit ribosomal RNA", at positions 338 to 795 of the family's 1533-position model. The record is from RNAcentral.
CCUACGGGAGGCAGCAGUGGGGAAUAUUGCACAAUGGGGGAAACCCUGAUGCAGCGACGCCGCGUGAGUGAAGAAGUAUUUCGGUAUUUAAAGCUCUAUCAGCAGGGAAGAAAAUGACGGUACCUGAUUCAGAAGCCCCGGCUAACGACGUGCCAGCAGCCGGGGUACUACGGAGGGGGCAAGCGUAAUACGGAUUUACUGGGUGUAAAGGGGGCGUAGACGGCAGCACAAGUGUGGAGUGAAAUGCCGGGGCUUAACCCCGGAAGUGCUUUGGAAACUGUGCAGCUAGAGUGCAGGAGAGGUAAGUGGAAUGCCUAGUGUAGCGGUGAAAUGCGUAGAUAUCAGGAGGAACACCAGUGGCGAAGGCGGCUUACUGGACCAUAACUGACGUUGAGGCUCGAAAGCGUGGGGAGCGAACAGGAUUAGAUACCCGGGUAGUC